Molecule: transfer RNA, 74 nt
Filed under: Arcticibacterium luteifluviistationis
Lineage: Bacteria; Pseudomonadati; Bacteroidota; Cytophagia; Cytophagales; Leadbetterellaceae
Description: tRNA-Gln
Rfam family: tRNA
About the family: Transfer RNA (tRNA) molecules are approximately 80 nucleotides in length. Their secondary structure includes four short double-helical elements and three loops (D, anti-codon, and T loops).
Source: RNAcentral
UGACCCGUGGUGUAAUGGUAACACAGGGGCUUUUGGUGCCCUUAUUGAGGGUUCGAGUCCUUCCGGGUUAACAA